This 253-nucleotide ribosomal RNA is filed under the name uncultured bacterium. Its description in RNAcentral is "partial 16S ribosomal RNA". It matches the Rfam family "Bacterial small subunit ribosomal RNA", at positions 524 to 776 of the family's 1533-position model. The record is from RNAcentral.
UACGUAGGGGGCAAGCGUUAUCCGGAUUCACUGGGUGUAAAGGGAGCGCAGGCGGUACGGCGAGUCUGAUGUGAAAACCCGGGGCCCAACCCCGGGACCGCGCCGGAUACUGCCGGACUCGAGUGCCGGAGGGGCAGGCGGAAUUCCUGGUGUAGCGGUGAGAUGCGCAGAUAUCAGGAGGAACACCGGUGGCGAAGGCGGCCUGCUGGACGGUAACUGACGCUGAGGCUCGAAAGCGUGGGGAGCGAACAGG